Leptonychotes weddellii (Weddell seal) is the source of this 4667-nucleotide non-coding RNA. Lineage: Eukaryota; Metazoa; Chordata; Mammalia; Carnivora; Phocidae. The record is from RefSeq and is a predicted model, not a curated record.
CCGGCGUUGCUUGGCUACCCCGCCGUUCCCCCGUCCCGCUGCCGCUCGCCUCCCCGGGUGAAACUCUGACGCCGUCACCGCGGGCCUCGGCUGCGUCAUAGCGGCGGGCAUCCCACCUUCACGUCACACCUCCUCCUCACCUGGACACGCAUUCCUCCCUCCCUGUCAACCACGACGUUUCCUCUCCCCCUCUCCAAUCCCCCUUACGCCAGAUCUGGCGAGAGAAGAUGGAGACGAGGGUGGGACUGAGUUGUGGACGACGCUCAGGAGAGGGUCGCAAGGUGGGACCCCGGACAGUGGUAGAAACAAAAUGAGGACGUCCCUGAAGUUUGCCCUUCUACUGAGACACGAGGAAUAGAGGGAAAGAAAUGACCAACCCAGAGGCACCCGAGGCCUCACUAUGGCUGUAAAGUCCUCUCUCUGCUUUCCUAACCUUUUCCCCAUUUCUCUUUCACACCACUUCUUUGCCAGUCUAGAUCCAUCCUGGUCCCUAAAUCUGCGUACAGUUCAACUCACCCCAGUUAAAUAAUGGCAGAGACAAGUCUGUUAGAUGCUGGGGCCUCUGCAGCCUCCACAGCUGCAGCGCUGGAGAACUUACAGGUGGAGGCGAGUUGCUCUGUGUGCCUGGAGUAUCUGAAGGAGCCUGUCAUCAUUGAGUGUGGACACAACUUCUGCAAAGCUUGCAUCACCCGUUGGUGGGAGGACCUAGAGAGGGACUUCCCUUGUCCUGUGUGUCGAAAAACAUCCCGCUACCGCAGUCUCCGACCUAAUCGACAACUAGGCAGUAUGGUGGAAAUUGCCAAGCAGCUCCAGGCUGUUAAGCGGAAGAUCCGAGAUGAAAGCCUCUGUCCCCAGCACCAUGAGGCCCUCAGCCUCUUUUGCUAUGAGGACCAGGAGGCUGUAUGUUUGAUAUGUGCAAUUUCCCACACCCACCGGGCCCACACCGUCGUGCCACUGGAUGAUGCCACACAGGAGUACAAGGAAAAAUUGCAGAAGUGCCUGGAGCCCCUGGAGCAGAAGCUGCAGGAGAUCACCCGCUGCAAGUCCUCUGAGGAGAAGAAGCCUGGAGAGCUCAAGAGACUAGUGGAAUGUCGCCGGCAACAGAUCUUAAAGGAAUUUGAAGAGCUUCAUAGGCGGCUGGAUGAAGAGCAGCAGAUGUUGCUUUCACGACUGGAGGAGGAGGAACAAGACAUUCUACAGCGCCUCCGAGAAAAUGCUGCUCACCUUGGAGACAAGCGCCGGGACCUGGCCCACUUGGCUGCUGAGGUGGAGGGCAAGUGCUUACAGUCAGGCUUCGAGAUGCUUAAGGAUGUCAAAAGUACCCUGGAAAAAUGUGAGAAGGUGAAGACCAUGGAGGUGACUUCAGUGUCUAUAGAGCUGGAAAAGAACUUCAGCAAUUUCCCCCGACAGUACUUUGCCCUAAGGAAAAUCCUUAAACAGCUAAUUGCGGAUGUGACCCUGGACCCAGAGACUGCUCACCCUAACCUAGUCCUGUCAGAAGAUCGUAAGAGCGUCAAGUUUGUGGAGACAAGACUCCGGGAUCUCCCUGACACACCACGGCGGUUCACCUUCUACCCUUGUGUCCUGGCUACUGAGGGCUUCACCUCAGGCCGACACUACUGGGAGGUGGAGGUGGGUGAUAAGACCCACUGGGCAGUGGGCGUGUGCCGGGACUCCGUGAGCCGAAAGGGCGAGCUGACUCCACUCCCUGAGACUGGCUACUGGCGGGUGCGGCUGUGGAAUGGGGACAAAUAUGCAGCCACCACCACGCCUUUUACCCCUUUGCACAUCAAGGUGAAACCCAAGCGGGUGGGCAUAUUCCUAGACUAUGAGGCCGGCACACUGUCUUUUUACAAUGUCACAGACCGCUCUCAUAUCUACACUUUUACUGAUACUUUUACUGAGAAACUUUGGCCCCUCUUCUAUCCAGGCAUCCGGGCUGGUCGGAAGAAUGCUGCACCACUUACCAUCAGGCCCCCAACAGAUUGGGAGUGACAGGUAGGGAUGUGGGAAUAAUUGGGGUGAGUCAGGGUCAAGAGCUAUGGGCCUUCCUUCCUGUGACCUGCUGGAACGUCUUCGUGUCUGCCUGGUUCCAGUCCUGCACUGUCUAGGAGAGGCAUCUUGGUUUCUAGAAUGGUUUAUAUGGAGGAGUAGAUAGGACUGGUCUGGGAUGAGAGCACAGCUGUGUCUCCCUUCUGUCAGGGUGGGGAGCUAGUUCCCAGGGGUUGUCUCCCCUGAAGUCCAUCAGGUUUUUCUAUUGCACAUGGAUAGGUUGGGAAGGAAGGAGAGGCUUUUCCGGAAACAGAAAGUCUGUGGGAGGGUCUGACUUGCUCAAAACCAGAAGAGGAAACAGAAACCCCUGUACAUCCUUUUAGGGGGUUCUUUGACCCAGAAUGGUCUUAUUUCUUGAGGAAGAUCAGAGGGGUCUGUGUACCUCUAGACUAAAAUAAAGAUGAAUGAUAGUUGCUCUUAUGGGUCUAGAAGUUAAGGAGUUUUUUUUGUUUGUUUGUUUGUUUUUGAGGGCAGAGAUUGAGCAUCAAGAUUAGAAAGAAAGUUGGGAAAGGGGCUAAAGGAACAGAUUCCUAGUGACCAAUGAAGGGGAAAGGGGUUUCUUUGGUCUUCCAUUCCCAGAGUAAGUUGCCAUUAUGAGUAGGAUUGGCCAGAGGUAGGAAUGUGGGGAGGAAAGGGUGAGAAGAAAGGAGAGGAGAAAUCGGGUCCCUCUCUCAGCCUUCAGCAAAGCUGGCUUAGUGCCUGCCUCCUUUGAGUUGGUUGUCUCUAAGAUGUCGGUCAGUCACCUUUCUCCUGCAGAGAUGAGGUACCAGAGACCCCUCAAGACACAUCUACCCUUUCACUGCUUUCCCAAGGGAACCUGGAAAGGACAGUCAGGUAUUAGAGGAAAGAGAAAGGUUUUUCUAUCCAAAGCCCUGGCCUUAAAGAAUGUUACUAAGUAGCUGCUCCCAAGUUGUCAGCCUUGUUCCUUGGCUAAGGUGUCCAAGCCAAAAAGGGAGAAAGGAAAUAGAGUCUUCCUCACCCUGAGGACAGGGUAGAAGAGAGGGUGUGUAGAGGGAAGGGUAAGAUAGGCAACUUCCUUUAGCCUGUGUGCAUAUGGCCUGGAACUAGUGUUCACAGGAGCCAGUCUUUUGCUUAUUUGUUGCCAUCCUUCACCUUUUGCCAUUUCCCCUAUCAGAGAAUGUAAAUCAUUUUAACAUUAGGCCAAAAUAAACAACUUGUAGGGUACAUAUGUUGUCAAAAAAGGUUAAAGCUAUGCAUGCCAAACCGAACUAAAAUGAUUUGGAAUAUUUGCUAUUUGGGUGAUCAGGGGUUCACAGAAGAUUGGGACAACAAACUGCAGUUUAUUGAGGGUGUUUCAAUUCCUCCUACCACCUCAACAGGACUUUGUCCAGACUCUCCUCUUACCUUUGUGCCUUGACUGUGGUUCUUUGUGGCAAGAUGCUUUGGUUGGUAAAACAAUAUGGAACAAAGGAUCCACUGAAGUGAUCUCUGUGUUGUGUGGUAAUUUGACGAUGGCCUUGUGUUGAUGUGUAAGAAUCACUGGUGUUAAGAAUGCAUGAUCCUGGGGUUUGCCCUCAGUGAUUAAUCAAGGUCUGGGGUGGGCCUGGAUGUCUACAUUUUAAACAUACUCCUCAUUUGAAUUUAGGGAUCCUUGUGAAAUUAAUCCCAGAGGAGGUUUUGGCCAUUUAUUCUGAGCUGGAGGCCUGGUUUCCUGCAUGGCCUGUUGGGGUUUGAGAAGGGAGAGAGGCCUUAUUCUCUCCUUAAUGCUACCCUUUCCCUGUCUCAAGGUUCAUUCAUGUUCUGCCGCUCCAGCUCACAUCCCUCUACUUCUGACUUCAGGAACUGGUGGUCAUUAACUAUGAGGCAGAAGUAAACACAGGAUGUCAAACAGAACAAACAGGAGACAGGGUGGCGCCGGAGUAAGGAUCGCGGAGAGAGCCUCGCGGGCCCAGGAACUACACUUCCCAGGAGGCCGUGCGCGGGCGCCUGAGGCGGGGCUAUCGGAGGGGCGGGACCUGCGGACUGUCGUGUGUGAGGGACUCGCGCGGCGCAGAUGGCUGGGCCGGUGAAGGACCGCGAGGCCUUCCAGAGGCUCAGCUUCCUGUACCAGGCCGCCCACUGUGUCCUUGCGCAGGACCCCACGAACCAGGCGCUGGCGAGGUUUUACUGCCACACGGAGAGGACCAUCGCAAAGCGGCUGGUCUUGCGGCGGUGAGACGCUCAGGGAACCUGGCGGCGGGCGCGAAGCAUGGGAGAGGGAGCGCGGGCGCUCGGACCACCAUCCCCUUCCGUCCGCAGGGACCCCUCGGUGAAGAGGACCCUCUGUCGUGGCUGCUCUUCCCUCCUCAUCCCGGGCCUCACCUGCACCCAGCGCCAGAGACGCUGCAGGGGACAGCGCUGGACAGUACAGACUUGCCUAACAUGCCAACGCAGCCAGCGUUUCCUCAAUGAUCCUGAUCAUCUACUCUGGGGAGACCGGCCUGAGGCCCAGCUGGGGAGCCAAGCAGGUGACAGAUCUCAAACCACCACAGCCCCUGCCAAAUGCAGCUCACCCCAUUCCAGCCCACCUCCCUGAGGAGAAAGUGUAGCCUCAGAGCUCCAGUCACCAGUGAUGGAUUCACCCUAUCUUUCAAAUAAAGUAUAAUUGUGUUUCA